AAGUCGUAACAAGGUUUCCGUAGGUGAACCUGCGGAAGGAUCAUUAUGAAUUGUUGUUUUGGCUCUUAACACGGAGUCUCAACUCUUUUCUGUGAACUGGAUCUCUCGACCCUUUUUCUUUUUUUUUUUAAAGGAGGAAAAAGGUGAAGGGAUUGCUUUAUUUGUUUUCUGUUGUGAUUGUUUCUUUACAAGUUUUCUUUAAUGAAAGACAACUUUCAGCAAUGGAUCUCUUGGCUCUU
Molecule: unclassified non-coding RNA, 239 nt
Filed under: fungal sp.
Lineage: Eukaryota; Fungi
Description: partial internal transcribed spacer region
Rfam family: Eukaryotic small subunit ribosomal RNA (bases 1-46)
Source: RNAcentral